Molecule: ribosomal RNA, 650 nt
Filed under: Salinibacter ruber
Lineage: Bacteria; Pseudomonadati; Rhodothermota; Rhodothermia; Rhodothermales; Salinibacteraceae
Description: bacterial SSU rRNA
Rfam family: Bacterial small subunit ribosomal RNA
Source: RNAcentral
AGAACGUUCUGGCUUUGCCAGGACAAGUACAGUGGCGGACGGGUGCGUAUCGCGUAGAUAACCUGCCCUCAGGCGCGGGACAAUCACGGGAAACCGUGGCUAAUACCGCACGUCGUCUGGACCCCGCAUGGGGACCAGAUGAAAGCCUUCGGGCGCCUUUGGAUGGGUCUGCGUUGGAUUAGCUUGUUGGUGAGGUAACGGCUCACCAAGGCAACGAUCCAUAGCUGGUCUGAGAGGACGAUCAGCCACACUGGGACUGAGACACGGCCCAGACUCCUACGGGAGGCAGCAGUGGGGAAUCUUGCACAAUGGGGUCACCCCUGAUGCAGCCAUGCCGCGUGGAGGAAGACACCCCUAUGGGGCGUAAACUCCUUUUCUGAAUGAAGAAACCCCUGUAGCUUCAGGGCGCGACGGUAGUUCAGGAAUAAGCACCGGCUAACUCCGUGCCAGCAGCCGCGGUAAUACGGAGGGUGCAAGCGUUGUCCGGAAUCACUGGGUGUAAAGGGUGUGCAGGCGGGGCAGCAAGUCGGAUGUGAAACCCCAUGGCUUAACCAUGGAGGUGCAUUCGAAACUGUUGCUCUUGAGUCCCGGAGAGGCUGUCGGAAUUCGUGGUGUAGCGGUGAAAUGCGUAGAUAUCACGAGGAACACCA